CCUACGGGUGGCAGCAGUGGGGAAUAUUGGACAAUGGGCGAAAGCCUGAUCCAGCCAUGCCGCGUGUGUGAAGAAGGCCUUCGGGUUGUAAAGCACUUUCAGUGGGGAAGAAAGCCUUGGGGCUAAUACCCUCGAGGAAGGACAUCACCCACAGAAGAAGCACCGGCUAACUCCGUGCCAGCAGCCGCGGUAAUACGGGGGGUGCGAGCGUUAAUCGGAAUUACUGGGCGUAAAGCGCGCGUAGGCGGUCUGAUAAGCCGGUUGUGAAAGCCCCGGGCUCAACCUGGGAACGGCAUCCGGAACUGUCAGGCUAGAGUGCAGGAGAGGAAGGUAGAAUUCCCGGUGUAGCGGUGAAAUGCGUAGAGAUCGGGAGGAAUACCAGUGGCGAAGGCGGCCUUCUGGACUGACACUGACGCUGAGGUGCGAAAGCGUGGGUAGCAAACAGGAUUAGAUACCCCGGUAGUC
RNAcentral lists this ribosomal RNA (465 nucleotides) under Vreelandella stevensii. RNAcentral describes it as "partial 16S ribosomal RNA". It matches the Rfam family "Bacterial small subunit ribosomal RNA", at positions 338 to 795 of the family's 1533-position model. The record is from RNAcentral. Lineage: Bacteria; Pseudomonadati; Pseudomonadota; Gammaproteobacteria; Oceanospirillales; Halomonadaceae.